RNAcentral lists this long non-coding RNA (866 nucleotides) under Felis catus (domestic cat). Its description in RNAcentral is "lncRNA (ENSFCAG00000041429.2)". Lineage: Eukaryota; Metazoa; Chordata; Mammalia; Carnivora; Felidae. The record is from RNAcentral.
AUGCCUGCUCCCUGCAGGUCCUUUUGGUCAACAGGAAAACAUCAUGUGUCUUUUUCCUGCCAAAUGCCUUCCCGUCCAGUCGGCCCUCCCUCUCCACCCUGUAACCGCACUGCUCCAGCCAGUCUUCUGCGUUUGGAAUUCUCCAGAUGGGCGCAAGAGCCCAGGUGCAGAUGCCGACAAAUGCUUGCAGAUGCUGGUUGGCUUUCCUUAGAACUCUCUCUGCUUUCCUCUUUGGUCUCCAAGCAGCACCAGCACCUGCGAUGUGAGGGCUCUGUAAACAUCCAGCCAGAAGCAUGUGUUAUCGGUGAUACUACACUCUUUCCAGUGGGGGCAGACCAUCUUUUCCCCCACCCGCCUCCCCAUCACUGCAGUGAAGGAAGCCUGCCGCAAAAGAGAGUAUCCUGUGUGAUUCCAUGUGAAGACAGUCUGGACGAUAACCGCCACCCAGGAGCGUGUCCGCUGGAAAUGCAACCUGGUAGGGGAUGCCCCGAAACCACUGGCACGUAGAGGGUGUGGCUGUUAGGAACAUGGGCUUUGGCGUCAGCUGCUCUACCACUUACUAAUAACCUUGGCCUGUUAUUCAUUUAGAAGUAGAGAUGAUAAUACCUACCACAGAGGAUUGUUGGCCAGAUUAAGAUAAUGUGCGUAAAGCACAUGGUAAUAUUGAAAUACCAGAGUCAGGGGUCAGCAACAUAGGAGAUAUUCCUGGCAAUGUGACCCCAUUUGAAUCCAUCACACGUGGUCUGGCAUUCAGACACACGAGUCACAUAUGCUUCCAUGUGCCUUGGGUGGCCAGAGAUUAAGUAAAUUUUUUUCCUCUUUCAAAAAACCACAUCCUUUUAGUAGAAAACUACAGCAAACACCGC